GCCCGUAUAGCUCAGUGGUAGAGCGCAUCACUCGUAUCUUGAUUGCGACAUGAUGAGGUCCGCGGUUCAAUCCCGCGUGGGGGCA
Molecule: non-coding RNA, 85 nt
Organism: Cercophora samala
Lineage: Eukaryota; Fungi; Ascomycota; Sordariomycetes; Sordariales; Lasiosphaeriaceae
Source: the annotation of a GenBank genome assembly